RNAcentral lists this ribosomal RNA (1371 nucleotides) under uncultured bacterium. RNAcentral describes it as "bacterial SSU rRNA". It matches the Rfam family "Bacterial small subunit ribosomal RNA", at positions 28 to 1381 of the family's 1533-position model. The record is from RNAcentral.
GAUGAACGCUGGCGGCGUGCCUAAUACAUGCAAGUCGAACGCACAGCGAAAGGUGCUUGCACCUUUCAAGUGAGUGGCGAACGGGUGAGUAACACGUGGAUAACCUACCUCAAGGUUGGGGAUAACAUUUGGAAACAGAUGCUAAUACCGAAUAAAACUUAGUAUCGCAUGAUACCAGGUUAAAAGGCGCUACGGCGUCACCUAGAGAUGGAUCCGCGGUGCAUUAGUUAGUUGGUGGGGUAAAGGCUUACCAAGACAAUGAUGCAUAGCCGAGUUGAGAGACUGAUCGGCCACAUUGGGACUGAGACACGGCCCAAACUCCUACGGGAGGCUGCAGUAGGGAAUCUUCCACAAUGGGCGAAAGCCUGAUGGAGCAACGCCGCGUGUGUGAUGAAGGCUUUCGGGUCGUAAAGCACUGUUGUAUGGGAAGAACAGCUAGAGUAGGGAAUGACUUUAGUUUGACGGUACCAUACCACAAAGGGACGGCUAAAUACGUGCCAGCAGCCGCGGUAAUACGUAUGUCCCGAGCGUUAUCCGGAUUUAUUGGGCGUAAAGCGAGCGCAGACGGUUAAUUAAGUCUGAUGUGAAAGCCCGGAGCUCAACUCCGGAAAGGCAUUGGAAACUGGUUAACUUGAGUGCAGUAGAGGUAAGUGGAACUCCAUGUGUAGCGGUGGAAUGCGUAGAUAUAUGGAAGAACACCAGCGGCGAAGGCGGCUUACUGGACUGUAACUGACGUUGAGGCUCGAAAGUGUGGGUAGCAAACAGGAUUAGAUACCCUGGUAGUCCACACCGUAAACGAUGAACACUAGGUGUUAGGAGGUUUCCGCCUCUUAGUGCCGAAGCUAACGCAUCAAGUGUUCCGCCUGGGGAGUACGACCGCAAGGUUGAAACUCAAAGGAAUUGACUGGGACCCGCACAAGCGGUGGAGCAUGUGGUUUAAUUCGAAGCAACGCGAAGAACCUUACCAGGUCUUGACAUCCUUUGAAGCUUUUAGAGAUAGAAGUGUUCUCUUCGGAGACAAAGUGACAGGUGGUGCAUGGUCGUCGUCAGCUCGUGUCGUGAGAUGUUGGGUUAAGUCCCGCAACGAGCGCAACCCUUAUUGUUAGUUGCCAGCAUUCAGAUGGGCACUCUAGCGAGACUGCCGGUGACAAACCGGAGGAAGGCGGGGACGACGUCAGAUCAUCAUGCCCCUUAUGACCUGGGCUACACACGUGCUACAAUGGCGUAUACAACGAGUUGCCAACCUGUGAAGGUGAGCUAAUCUCUUAAAGUACGUCUCAGUUCGGACUGCAGUCUGCAACUCGACUGCACGAAGUCGGAAUCGCUAGUAAUCGCGGAUCAGCACGCCGCGGUGAAUACGUUCCCGGGUCU